Molecule: ribosomal RNA, 279 nt
Filed under: uncultured bacterium
Lineage: Bacteria
Description: partial 16S ribosomal RNA
Rfam family: Bacterial small subunit ribosomal RNA
Source: RNAcentral
UGCCAGCCGCCGCGGUAACACGAACUGCGCGAACGUUAUUCGGAAUCACUGGGCUUAAAGAGUCCGUAGGCGGCUUUGUAGGUGAGGUGUGAAAUCCCACGGCUCAACCGUGGAAUUGCGCUUCAAACCGCAUCGCUAGAGGGAGAUAGAGGAGAGCGGAACUCACGGUGGAGCGGUGAAAUGCGUUGAUAUCGUGAGGAACACCGGUGGCGAAAGCGGCUCUCUGGGUCUCUUCUGACGCUGAGGGACGAAAGCUAGGGGAGCGAACGGGAUUAGAUA